AGUGAACGCUGGCGGUAGGCCUAACACAUGCAAGUCGAACGGCAGCACAGUAAGAGCUUGCUCUUACGGGUGGCGAGUGGCGGACGGGUGAGGAAUACAUCGGAAUCUACUUUUUCGUGGGGGAUAACGUAGGGAAACUUACGCUAAUACCGCAUACGACCUACGGGUGAAAGCAGGGGAUCUUCGGACCUUGCGCGAUUGAAUGAGCCGAUGUCGGAUUAGCUAGUUGGCGGGGUAAAGGCCCACCAAGGCGACGAUCCGUAGCUGUCUGAGAGGAUGAUCAGCCACACUGGAACUGAGACACGGUCCAGACUCCUACGGGAGGCAGCAGUGGGGAAUAUUGGACAAUGGGCGCAAGCCUGAUCCAGCCAUACCGCGUGGGUGAAGAAGGCCUUCGGGUUGUAAAGCCCUUUUGUUGGGAAAGAAAAGCAGCAGGUUAAUACCCCGCUGUCCUGACGGUACCCAAAGAAUAAGCACCGGCUAACUUCGUG
This 491-nucleotide ribosomal RNA is filed under the name uncultured bacterium. RNAcentral describes it as "partial 16S ribosomal RNA". It matches the Rfam family "Bacterial small subunit ribosomal RNA", at positions 29 to 507 of the family's 1533-position model. The record is from RNAcentral.